This is a long non-coding RNA of Rattus norvegicus (Norway rat), 1404 nucleotides long. RefSeq lists it as uncharacterized. Lineage: Eukaryota; Metazoa; Chordata; Mammalia; Rodentia; Muridae. The record is from RefSeq and is a predicted model, not a curated record.
CUUUCAACUAUGGGUCUUUCUCUGCACUUCUACUGUUGCCUCAGGCUUGAUGAUAACAUGAACGGGGGUCACAUGUCAUAAUGGAGAAGGUGUACGUCUUUCUGUGAGAUGGCAUCAUAGAGAGUUGCCCUUGUGUUUUAUAAAAUGUACUGGAGUAUAGCGCAGCGGGAGGGAGCCCCGCAGAGGGCCCUGCCUGUUCCCCUGAAGAAUCAGUUAAAUGACAGACCUAAUAUGAAGGUUUAUUGGUGGGAUGGGAAGGAGACCUGGAAAAGGGGUAGAGGCAGGGAAAGGAGGGGAACAGAGAAGAACAGAGAGAGGAGAGAGGGGAAGAGAAGAAGGGAAAGAGGACUGGAGGGGAAGGGGUUAGGGAAAGGAAGGGGGAGGGUGAAAAGAGAGAGGGGGAGGGAGAGAGGGAGAGAGGUGUGUGGAGGAGAAAGGAGGGAGGGAGAGAGGGAGAGGGAGAAAGGGAAGGAGAGAGAGAGAGAGAGAGAGAGAGAGAGAGAGAGAGAGAGAGAGAGAGAGAGAGAGCAAAAGCCCUUCUUAUUUUCAAGCCAGGCUCCUACCCUCCAGCUAGCAAGCUGUUGCUAGGUAACUGUUGGGCGGAGCCUAGAAGAAUUGCUAACCACGGUCAGUUGUCAGCCCCACAGCACUACUAUUGGAGUAGAAAGCCCUGCCCCUCAGACCAUUUAUUUCCUCUGCUGUAAGUUCAAACAAACGAAAAACUUCAGGACAUUGGUUCUUGGGUUUUUCUCAUCCUACAGCAAUAAAGGCAGGAAUUUGCAGAAGUGGGAACUUGAAAUAGUAGAAAAACUGGGAAAGGGGAAUCUAUAUCCUGCAUUCCAUCCUCUCCAUAUUUGGAACUAAACAUCCCCCAUGAGUUUUUUUCCCUAUGUCUGCAUGUCAGUCUUUCUUGCUCAGUUGCACGGUACUGAGUCCCCAGGGCAAGGGCGACCUAUUGUUUGCUGUGUUUGAACACUUGGUUCCCAUCUAGUGACCACGUUGUCUGAGGUGGUGGGCCUUUAAGGCACGGAGCUGUAGAGGCAGGGGCUAUGCCUCAGCGCAGCUCCAGCCUGAGUUCCCUGUCUACUGAUUCACCAAGAUGUGCGCAACCCCCUCUCAAGCUCUGACCACCACAUAUAGGAAUCGCUCUCCCCUCUGAGAACUCCACCACACCUUCCUCAGCAUGAGGAACUCCAUCCUUACAGUCCAUGAACAAGAUGAGUCUGGUCUCUGACAGUCAUGCCGGCACACGAUGGCAUGGUCAAAGAUGCAAACAACUGUCUUCUUAAAACAUGCUAAAAGCAAAGAAGGCAGCUCAUUCAUUAUGUUCUGGAGGAACGGCUCUCCAGGAUGGAGCGCACCCCUUUCCGAUGCUGCUGAAUAGAAAGCAUGGCCCCCUGUGAA